GACGAACGCUGGCGGCGUGCUUAACACAUGCAAGUCGAACGGAAAGGCCCUGCUUUUGUGGGGUGCUCGAGUGGCGAACGGGUGAAUAACACGUGAGUAACCUGCCCUUGACUUUUGUAUAACUUCAGGAAACUGGGGCUAAUACCGGAUAUGAGCUCCUUCUGCAUGGUGGGGGUUGGAAAGUUUCGGCGGUUGGGGAUGGACUCGCGGCUUAUCAGCUUGUUGGUGGGGUAGUGGCUUACCAAGGCUUUGACGGGUAGCCGGCCUGAGAGGGUGACCGGCAACAGUGGGACUGAGAUACGGCCCAGACUACUACGGGAGGCAGCAGUGGGGAAUAUUGCACAAUGGGCGGAAGCCUGAUGCAGCAACGCCGCGUGCGGGAUGACGGCCUUCGGGUUGUAAACCGCUUUCGCCUGUGACGAAGCGUGAGUGACGGUAAUGGGUAAAGAAGCACCGGCUAACUACGUG
This 468-nucleotide ribosomal RNA is filed under the name uncultured bacterium. Its description in RNAcentral is "partial 16S ribosomal RNA". It matches the Rfam family "Bacterial small subunit ribosomal RNA", at positions 28 to 507 of the family's 1533-position model. The record is from RNAcentral.